Amphimedon queenslandica is the source of this 971-nucleotide long non-coding RNA. RefSeq lists it as uncharacterized. The transcript is spliced from 2 exons. The record is from RefSeq and is a predicted model, not a curated record. NCBI's taxonomy places the organism in Eukaryota, Metazoa, Porifera, Demospongiae, Haplosclerida, Niphatidae.
UGUUACUGUCAGUGUCAGUGGUUUGCUAGAACAAGUUAUGCUGUUAAUUGUUAAUCAUGUCUUGCAUAAUUAUAAGUGUUAGCCAAUGGUCACUGUCAUUGUCAGUGGCAUGUACAAGUGCAAGUUUGUCUAGCAAAUGAAGCUCAUUUCACCAAUCAUUCCCCCACCAAAUUUAUAGUGUGUUAGCAUAGAAAAUGCCUUUUUGCAUGUAUAGCAACCAUUUUUCUAUAAACUAUAAAACUACAUUUACUGUAUAUGCAUUUGAGUAUAGGUGUGUGUAUAAGCAUACUUGUAUGCAUACAUUAUAUGAUUAUGUGGAUCUACAUUACAGUACAUUACUAGUAAAAAGUGACUCUGCCUAUUAUUUGGCCAUUUUUGGCCAUUUUAACCAAUAAACUGUAUUUUGUGUUUUUCAAUAAUGAAUGUACACUACCCAACUCUUUACCAUGAAUUUGUUUGCAGAUUAAAGUAACCACAAAGUUGCAUUGUGUUUUAUUGUGACUAUUUAAGAGUUUUGUCUCUGUCUCUUUCAUUUAUUCAUUCAUUGAACUGUUUUUAUUUCUACACAGAAAUAUGUGCUGUGUCACGUCAUCAUGUUCAAAGAAUGAAAUUGAAAGAUGCCUCAAACUUUUUGGUCAGGCAGCAAACCCAGCAAUGAAUACUGUAUCAACUACUAAAGCAUGAUUAGUGAGUAUAUUGAGGAAGUAUAGGUUUGAAAGCGGAUCAUCUGAUACUGAGAUACAAUUAAAAAAGAAACAAGGGUUUACUCAGUCUCCAAACGAUUGUUUUUCUAAGAAUGACUCCCUAAUAAAAUGAGUUGGAAUUAAAUUUUAUUUUUGGGUAGUUUACAAGCAUAAUAUUAUUUUGAAAUUUUUUUGCAAAAUUAUAAUAAGUUUCUGUAAUUUUAUUAGAUCAAUCUCAAGGGCGUGGUGUGGGUGUUGUUAGCCCUGCCUUAAAACCACGUGGAGUCA